UACAACACACUCAUUUUAAAAUAAAUUAAAAUAAAAAAUUAUUUAUUUAUAAUUUAAUGAAAUAACGUAAAUAAAAUAUUAUUUAGAAUGUUCUAACAAAUGGUUCACAAGUAAUUAUAGGUAAAACUCAAGGAUAAGAAUGUAAUUGACCCUAGGGUUCUUUCAAUCACCAAUUAUAUAGAACCCAUCUCAUGACUUCUUAACCAACCAAAAUAAUUAUCAUGGCGAGAUUGUUAGAGAGAAAGAGAGGGUUAGAGGAAGUUCAUGGAGAUGGGUGAGUAGGCGAAAAGAAGAGGCAUCAAGAAAAGCAUGUGUGUGCUGUAAUCUGGUCUCUUUCUUCAGUUCAUAAAAGAAAGAUUUUUGUUUUGGCUGAGUCGUAUAUUUUUGCCUACACCACCCAUUCCAUCCACUUCCUUGAACUUCCCUCUUUCUCUUUUUACUUCCAUAUCUUUGAAUGACAGGGAAUCGGAAGAAAGACAAGGAUAAGAAGUAAAGGGAGAGGGGUGCUGGGAGUUAUAGGUAUGGGGGGAUCGGGCAAUAUUGCUUUUGCUUUUUCAUCAGCAAAAUGGUAAUUCUUCCCGAGACCUCCCAUACCAUUGACCUCCAGCAAUUUUCCUCCCCUUCCUUGGCUUGUCCUGCUGGUUAUUUCAUUUUCUUGGAAAUCUUGUCAAGUCUGAUCAGAUCUACAAGCUUAGAAAAGAGAGAAACAAAAAAUGAAAGAACUUGAGCGAAAUGCAAGGGAGCUUCGAUUAUGGAGUCCGUUCCCGAAUUCCGGUCAGAGCCCUCCAGAAAUGCCCUCCGAUUCAUGGUUUUCAUCCACCUGAGGUUGAUUGGAGCCCUCCUCCAAGCUAGAUGCCCUCUGAAGCUUUGUUGAGUUUAUGUUCUUUCAAUAGAAAAAUAACAGGAGAAUGUCAAGGUUUCUGUUGAAGCACCCAAUACCUGCAUAACUCAGCAGGCAAAGACCAAUAUUAAGGACCAACAGUCUUUAACUGCUGGUCAAGGCCUCAGAUAUCAAGAUCAUCAAAGGCCUAGUGAGGGAAAAGGAGCAACACCUCUUCCCUAAGGGAAAAGGCUGCUUCUACCUUUCCUUACACAAAAAAUUACCGUUGCUACAAGUGUAUAUAACAGGAUACACACUUCUUUUAUAAAUUCAGAAUUCUUAAUCAUCAUUUUAUCAAUAAAAUCUCAGUUCUUCUA
Molecule: long non-coding RNA, 1197 nt
Organism: Ricinus communis (castor bean)
Lineage: Eukaryota; Viridiplantae; Streptophyta; Magnoliopsida; Malpighiales; Euphorbiaceae
Exons: 2
Source: RefSeq, a predicted model, not a curated record